AUCGGUGCCUUAGAGCCACAAGUGAUUGAGCCAUGCCGCCUAGAAAAGCUUCUAAGCGUUGAUAUUUGAGUGACCGUACCGCAAACCGACACUGGUAGGUGGGUAGAGUAUACCAAGGGGAGCGAGAGAACCUUCGUUAAGGAAUUAGGCAAAUUUCCCCCGUACGUUCGCAAUAAGGGGGGCCUUUGGCGGUGAGCUUAAUCGCAAAGCUGCUGGAGGCCGCAGAGAAAUGGCUCUUCCAACUGUUUAACAAAAACACAGGUCUCUGCUAAAUCGAAAGACGAAGUAUAGGGGCUGACGCCUGCCCAGUGCUGGAAGGUUAAGGGGAGAGGUUAGGCGCAAGCCGAAGCUUUGAGCCGAAGCCCCAGUGAACGGCGGCCGUAACGAUAACGGUCCUAAGGUAGCGAAAUUCCUUGUCGGGUAAGAUCCGACCCGCACGAAUGGCGUAAUGAGAGGAGCACUGUCUCAACGAGGGACUCGGCGAACAUUGAAGGACGUGUGAAGAUACACGUGACCCGCAGCGGGACAAAAAGACCCCGUGAAGCUUUACUACAACUUGCCAUUGAGUUAGGGCUAAACCUGUGUAGUAUAGGUGGGAGGCUUUGAAGCUGGGACGCCAGUCUCGGUGGAGCCACCGUUGAAAUACCACCCUGGUUUAUUCUUGGCUCUAACCUGUCGCCGUUAUCCGGCAUGGGAACAGUGGCUGGUGGGUAGUUUGACUGGGGCGGUCGCCUCCGAAAGCGUAACAGAGGCGCCCAAAGGUUCCCUCAGGCUGAAUGGAAACCAGCCGUUGAGUGUAAAGGCACAAGGGAGCUUGACUGCAAGACCAACAAGUCGCGCAGGGACGAAAGUCGGGCUUAGUGAUCCCACGGUUCAGAGUGGAAUGGCCGUGGCUUACCGGAUAAAAGCUACUCCGGGGAUAACAGGGUAGUCUGGUCCAAGAGUUCAUAUCGACGACCAGGUUCGCCACCUCGAUGUCGGCUCAUCACAUCCUGGGGCUGGAUAAGGUCCCAAGGGUUGGGCUGUUCGCCCAUUAAAGUGGUACGUGAGCUGGGUUCAGACCGUCGUGAGACAGGUCGGUCUCUAUCCGCUGUGGGCGUAAGGGAUUUGAGAGAAGCUGCCCCUAGUACGAGAGGACCGGGGUGGACGGACCUCUAGUGUGCCAGUUGUUCUGCCAAGAGCAUUGCUGGGUAGCUACGUCCGGCAGAGAUAACCGCUGGAAGCAUCUAAGUGGGAAACUCGUCUCAAGAUUAGAUCCCUCAUCCGUAUGGAGUAAGACCGCUAGAAGACGACUAGUUUGAUAGGCGGCAGGUGUAAGCGCAGUAAUGUGUUCAGCUUAGCCGUACUAAUGGUCGAGGGCUUACGUUA
Molecule: ribosomal RNA, 1368 nt
Filed under: metagenome
Description: bacterial LSU rRNA
Rfam family: Bacterial large subunit ribosomal RNA
Source: RNAcentral